GGGAAUAUAGCUCAGUUGGUAGAGUGCUUGCCUUGCAUGCACAAGGCCCUGGGUUCAAUCCCCAGUAAACUCC
This 73-nucleotide transfer RNA is filed under the name Ictidomys tridecemlineatus (thirteen-lined ground squirrel). RNAcentral's name for it is "Spermophilus tridecemlineatus (thirteen-lined ground squirrel) tRNA". It matches the Rfam family "tRNA". Rfam says of the family: Transfer RNA (tRNA) molecules are approximately 80 nucleotides in length. Their secondary structure includes four short double-helical elements and three loops (D, anti-codon, and T loops). Lineage: Eukaryota; Metazoa; Chordata; Mammalia; Rodentia; Sciuridae. The record is from Rfam by way of RNAcentral.